This 557-nucleotide ribosomal RNA is filed under the name Bifidobacterium adolescentis. RNAcentral's name for it is "bacterial SSU rRNA". It matches the Rfam family "Bacterial small subunit ribosomal RNA", at positions 146 to 713 of the family's 1533-position model. Lineage: Bacteria; Bacillati; Actinomycetota; Actinomycetes; Bifidobacteriales; Bifidobacteriaceae. The record is from RNAcentral.
UCUCCUGGAAACGGGUGGUAAUGCCGGAUGCUCCGACAUGACGCAUGUCGUGUCGGGAAAGAUUCUAUCGGUAUGGGAUGGGGUCGCGUCCUAUCAGCUUGAUGGCGGGGUAACGGCCCACCAUGGCUUCGACGGGUAGCCGGCCUGAGAGGGCGACCGGCCACAUUGGGACUGAGAUACGGCCCAGACUCCUACGGGAGGCAGCAGUGGGGAAUAUUGCACAAUGGGCGCAAGCCUGAUGCAGCGACGCCGCGUGCGGGAUGACGGCCUUCGGGUUGUAAACCGCUUUUGACUGGGAGCAAGCCCUUCGGGGUGAGUGUACCUUUCGAAUAAGCACCGGCUAACUACGUGCCAGCAGCCGCGGUAAUACGUAGGGUGCAAGCGUUAUCCGGAAUUAUUGGGCGUAAAGGGCUCGUAGGCGGUUCGUCGCGUCCGGUGUGAAAGUCCAUCGCUUAACGGUGGAUCCGCGCCGGGUACGGGCGGGCUUGAGUGCGGUAGGGGAGACUGGAAUUCCCGGUGUAACGGUGGAAUGUGUAGAUAUCGGGAAGAACACCACC